This is a small nucleolar RNA of Oncorhynchus kisutch (coho salmon), 213 nucleotides long. The record is from Ensembl. Lineage: Eukaryota; Metazoa; Chordata; Actinopteri; Salmoniformes; Salmonidae.
UUGAAAUGAUGAACUUGUUUAUCCAUUCGCUGAGUGCUGCUGGGCCCUGGCCUUGCAGCCCCCUGUGUCUGUUCUUGACUCAGGGGGUUCAGCGGCUUGACUCUAUGCUUUUGCCCCAGUGUUCUACUGGGGUUAACUGCGUCGGGGGCAGGUGUGCUGGUGCAAUGGUUAAGGGACCGGCCACAACUAAGACGAGCGUAAACUCCUGAUCAC